AUACGUAGGUGCCAAGCGUUAUCCGGAUUUACUGGGCGUAAAGGGCGUGUAGGCGGUCUUGCAAGUCAGAAGUGAAAUUCCUGAGCUCAACUCGGGCGCUGCUUCUGAAACUGCAGGACUUGAGUGCUGGAGGGGAUAGCGGAAUUCCUAGUGGAGCGGUAAAAUGCGCAGAUAUUAGGAAGAACACCGGUGGCGAAGGCGGGUAACUGGACAGUAACUGACGCUGGGGCGCGAAAGUGUGGGGAGCAAACAGGGUUAGAUACCCUGGUGUUCCACGCCGUAAACGAUGAAUGCUAGGUGUAGGAGGUAUCGACCCCUUCUGUGCCGCAGUUAACACAAUAAGUAAUCCACCGGGGGAGUACGGCCGCAAGGUUGAAACUCAAAGGAAUUUACGGGG
Molecule: ribosomal RNA, 397 nt
Filed under: uncultured bacterium
Lineage: Bacteria
Description: partial 16S ribosomal RNA
Rfam family: Bacterial small subunit ribosomal RNA
Source: RNAcentral